Molecule: ribosomal RNA, 809 nt
Filed under: uncultured bacterium
Lineage: Bacteria
Description: bacterial SSU rRNA
Rfam family: Bacterial small subunit ribosomal RNA
Source: RNAcentral
AGAGUUUGAUCCUGGCUCAGAAUCAACGCUGGCGGCGUGCCUCAGACAUGCAAGUCGAACGCGAAAGGCCCCUUCGGGGGCCGAGUAGAGUGGCGCACGGGUGAGUAACACGUAGGUAAUCUACCUCUGGGUGGGGAAUAACGACCGGAAACGGUCGCUAAUACCGCAUAAUGCAGCGGCACCACAUGGUGACAGUUGUUAAAGCGGGGGAUCGUAAGACCUCGCGCCUAGAGAUGAGCCUGCGGCGGAUUAGCUAGUUGGCAGGGUAACGGCCUACCAAGGCAACGAUCCGUAGCCGGCCUGAGAGGGCGGACGGCCACACUGGCACUGACAUACGGGCCAGACUCCUACGGGAGGCAGCAGUCGGGAAUUUUGGGCAAUGGGCGAAAGCCUGACCCAGCAACGCCGCGUGAAGGAUGAAGCUUCUCGGAGUGUAAACUUCAUAAGAAUGGGACGAAUAAGGAGGGGUUAACACCCCCUUUGAUGACGGUACCAUUUGUAAGCUCCGGCUAACUCCGUGCCAGCAGCCGCGGUAAUACGGGGGGAGCAAGCGUUGUUCGGAUUUACUGGGCGUAAAGGGCGCGUAGGCGGCGCAACAAGUCACUUGUGAAAUCUCCGGGCUUAACCCGGAGCGGCCAAGUGAUACUGUCGUGCUAGAGUGCGGAAGGGGCUACUGGAAUUCUCGGUGUAGCGGUGAAAUGCGUAGAUAUCGAGAGGAACACCUGCGGCGAAGGCGGGUAGCUGGGCCGACACUGACGCUGAGGCGCGAAAGCCAGGGGAGCGAACGGGAUUAGAUACCCCGGUAGUCC